ACAAGCGGUGGAGCAUGUGGUUAAUUCGACGCAACGCGAAGAACCUUACCAGGCUUGACAUCCCCUGACCGCGUAUGAAAGUACGUUUUCGACCCUCGGGUGACAGGGAGACAGGUGGUGCAUGGUUGUCGUCAGCUCGUGUCGUGAGAUGUUGGGUUAAGUCCCGCAACGAGCGCAACCCCUACGUUUAGUUGCUAACGCGUGAAGGCGAGCACUCUAGACGAACUGCCGUUGACAAAACGGAGGAAGGUGGGGAUGACGUCAAAUCAUCAUGCCCCUUAUGUUCUGGGCUACACACGUGCUACAAUGGCCGGUACAGACGGACGCAAAGCCGCGAGGUGGAGCAAAUCCUAAAAAGCCGGUCUCAGUUCGGAUUGCAGGCUGCAAUUCGCCUGCAUGAAGUCGGAAUCGCUAGUAAUCGCAGGUCAGCAUACUGCGGUGAAUACGUUCCCGGGCCUU
This 459-nucleotide ribosomal RNA is filed under the name uncultured Pelotomaculum sp. RNAcentral's name for it is "bacterial SSU rRNA". It matches the Rfam family "Bacterial small subunit ribosomal RNA", at positions 925 to 1382 of the family's 1533-position model. Lineage: Bacteria; Bacillati; Bacillota; Clostridia; Eubacteriales; Desulfotomaculaceae. The record is from RNAcentral.